Molecule: ribosomal RNA, 563 nt
Filed under: uncultured beta proteobacterium
Lineage: Bacteria; Pseudomonadati; Pseudomonadota; Betaproteobacteria
Description: bacterial SSU rRNA
Rfam family: Bacterial small subunit ribosomal RNA
Source: RNAcentral
UACGGGAGGCAGCAGUGGGGAAUUUUGGACAAUGGGCGCAAGCCUGAUCCAGCCAUGCCGCGUGUCUGAAGAAGGCCUUCGGGUUGUAAAGGACUUUUGUUCGGGAGCAAAUCCUAGUGGUUAAUACCUACUGGGGAUUGAGAGUACCGGAAGAAUAAGCACCGGCUAACUACGUGCCAGCAGCCGCGGUAAUACGUAGGGUCCAAGCGUUAAUCGGAAUUACUGGGCGUAAAGCGUGCGCAGGCGGUUGUGCAAGUCUGAUGUGAAAGCCCCGGGCUUAACCUGGGAACGGCAUUGGAGACUGCACGACUAGAGUGCGUCAGAGGGGGGUAGAAUUCCGCGUGUAGCAGUGAAAUGCGUAGAGAUGCGGAGGAAUACCGAUGGCGAAGGCAGCCCCCUGGGAUGACACUGACGCUCAUGCACGAAAGCGUGGGGAGCAAACAGGAUUAGAUACCCUGGUAGUCCACGCCCUAAACGAUGUCAACUAGCUGUUGGGGGUUUGAAUCCUUGGUAGCGAAGCUAACGCGAGAAGUUGACCGCCUGGGGAGUACGGCCGCAAGGUU